Tyto alba (common barn owl) is the source of this 9748-nucleotide RNA transcript. It is a transcript of the gene named upstream transcription factor family member 3, with no coding region annotated. The record is from RefSeq and is a predicted model, not a curated record. The transcript is spliced from 7 exons. Lineage: Eukaryota; Metazoa; Chordata; Aves; Strigiformes; Tytonidae.
GAGUGGAGGCAGCGGCGGAGCGCUUGGCACGGGGUGUCCGCUCGGAGGAUGGUCCCCGCGGUGGGGCUGCCGCUGCUCAGCCCGCCCAGCCCCGCUGCUCUCUUCUCCGAAACCAUGCCAGAGAUGACAGAGAAUGAGACGCCUACUAAGAAGCAACAUCGAAAGAAAAACCGUGAGACACAUAAUGCAGUGGAGAGACAUCGAAAGAAGAAGAUUAAUGCUGGGAUAAACAGAAUUGGAGAACUCAUUCCCUGCUCUCCAGCACUUAAGCAGAGCAAGAACAUGAUCCUGGAUCAGGCCUUUAAGUAUAUAACAGAAAUGAAAAGACAGAAUGAUGAACUUCUCUUAAAUGGAGGGAACAAUGAACAGGCUGAAGAGAUAAAAAAACUCCGGAAACAGUUGGAUGAACUGCAAAAGGAAAAUGGGAGAUACAUCGAACUACUGAAAGCAAAUGAUAUUUGCCUGUACGAUGACCCUACAAUCCACUGGAAGGGAAAUCUCAAAAACGCAAAGGUCUCGGUUGUUAUUCCUGGUGAUCAGGUUCAAAAGAACAUCAUUGUCUAUUCAAAUGGGAGUCAACCCAAUGGAAAUAACCAGGGAGCGCCUGUCCAGGGAAUAACAUUUAAUGUCGGUCAUAAUUUACAAAAGCAAACAGCCAAUGUUGUGCCAGUCCAGAGAACUUGCAACCUAGUGACUCCAGUGACAAUUUCUGGUAUUUACCCCGCAGAAAACAAGCCAUGGUCGCAAGCUACAGUUUCUCCGCUGGCAUCUGCUCAAACAGCUCCAGCAGGGAAUAUUCUGGAGCUCCCCACCCCAGAGGACGAGCGAGGCGUGCUCACCGCUGCUACUGCCAGCUCUCAGAGCACAUCUCGAGCUGGAACAGAGCAGGAGCUACAGUGUUCCUCAAGUAACGCACCACAGAAUGAUCAGAAUCUCCCCAAAAGCAAAAAUGAUGAGGAGGGCACUAAAUUAACAAAGAAAACGCUCCUGCAGGGAAUCAGCCUUCCUUCUAGUGCCUCCACGGAAGCCUCCCAGGUUCAGCAGGUGAAUGCAACUUGCUCAAGUACACACAGUUCUAGGAGUGACCUUCAGGAAAGCUGUGUCAUUUCAACCACAGACACAACUUGUGUGCCCUCUGUGAGACUGUCUACUGCAGAUAGUUUUUCCUCUGUAAAUGUCCUCAAAAGUACAGAUUUAGUAAGUAGUGCUGGCAUGCCCGUGACUUCUGCAGAAGGAGUUAAGGCUGUGACGGCAAUAAGCACUCUGCCUGCCAGUCCCUUAGAGAACUGCUGGUCUUUUUCAGGCUCUUCAGGUGUUGGCACUUCAGACUUGAAAAACAUGAGUAGCCUUACACGGAUGCCUUCAGCUGGAAACACACAGACCACGUGGACGACUCUGCAGCUAGCGGGAAAUACUGUUCAGCCACUAAGCCAAACCCCGUCCAGUCUAAUGACUGCACUAUUAAAUGAGCCAGCUAACGGUGCUGGUACUCUGUCUUCUGCUCACAGCAGGCCUCUGACUACAAGUAUCAGUUUGAAUACUUCUCUUCCUGGGGAUGGCCAGGCAGCUGAACAGAUUGUAGUUACCUUGCCCUCAUGCCCUCCCUUACCUAUGCAGCCAUUAAUCAGCCAGCCACAGGUUAAAACUCAGGCUGCAGGAAAUAUCCUUCCAUUAAAUUCAGCUAUGCAGGUGAUUCAGAUGGCUCAGCCGGUGGCAUCAGCCGUUACAGGAGCACCAGCUAACCAGAAUGUCAUCAUUCUCCAGCCUCCGAACCCAGCUCCGUGCCCUCCAAUUGUGAGAGCAGAAGUACCCAGCCAAAACGUUAGUCAGCAGAUUGUAAUUAUACAAGCUGCUAACCAGAAUCCUCUUCCCCUCCUCUCCGCUCAGCCUUCUGCUUCUGUGAGAGCUUCCAUGAAUGGGCCGACUGCCAUUGCGAACUCUAGCAGCUCCGUGCAAAACGCCUCUCUUCCACAGACAUUUGGAGGGAAACACCUUGUCCAUAUAUUACCAAGACCAUCUUCUUUGCCAUCUUCUAGUUCUACACAGACGUUUUCAGUUACAGUGUCCAAUCAACAGCAUCCGCAAACUAUCUCAUUAAACGGGCAGCUUUUUGCACUGCAGCCUGUGAUGUCUUCAUCUGGAGCUUCAAGUCAAGCCCCUAUGCAAAUUAUUCAACCCACCACCAGCGAAGAUCCAAAUACCAAUGUUGCCCUCAAUACGUUUGGUGCUUUAGCUAACCUCAAUCAAAGCAUAUCGCAAAUGGCUGGGCAGAGCUGCUUACACUUGUCUCUCAGCCAUCCUACCAAUCCCACAACUGGCAAUAACCAGAUUGCCACAGUUAGCUGUGUGUCAUUACCAGCUUCUGUGGCAUCUUCAGUACCUGCGGAGGUUUCAGUAUUAACCAGUGCAUCUAAUUCAAUAAACGCUUCCCCCAAAAAAGCAGCUGCUGGCUUGCCAUCUAGCACAAAAUCAAAAAGGACAAACAAAAAGCCAAGUACAAAGAAACACCAAGCAGUCAACAGCAAAAUGUCCUGCCCGGCACUUCCUUGCAGAGGCGCAGGGAAGGCGGACUGUGCUCCCGUGGAAAUGGUGGCAAAGCAUUCGACCGGCGAGGGGCUGCUUGAAAACGCUCCAGCGGUGUCCGUGUCGCAGGCCUUAACGACGUCGCGGGUGAGCGGCGUUGUGGCGUCGGGUGGCGUCAGCGUUUCUGAAUGCUGUUCCAAAGAGCCUGCGAGCUCCGAACAGGCAGCCAAAACCCGCUCGGUCCCCGAGCCGAGCUUGGCAGAGGCCCCCGCUUCCUCGGCCCUGGGGUCCGGGGUGCCAGAGCAGCCAGCGCUCGCCCCGCCGCCUGCCAGAGAUGCUGCUCCUCACCAGCAGGCCCAGGGCUCUCAGAACCGCCCGCCAACCAGCUCAGCCUUGUCAGAGUCCCCCAAACCCUGUGAACCCCCCAGCACCUUAACGUCCUCUCAUACCGAAGCACAUGCGACAUGUUCUGGGGUCACUGGGAUGUCAGCAGCACAGAGCAGCACAGCAGGUCAUGCUUCCAAGGCAGGAGCGAUUUCAGAGUCCUGCAACAUCACGGGGGAUUCCUCAGUGGUAAUGCAAGACGCGGACUUGUUAGAAGGACAGGGUCUAACCAAAAUGCUGUCUGAUCUCACAAAAGAAAGAACAGCUGUGGAAAAACCCUCUUCCUUUACUGUUCAGGGCGAACAUUCUAAUUUUCCCAUGGAAAACUCUAAAUCAACAGAAUCAAAUGUUGAUUUGCCUGAGAAGCAAGAACUCUUGCUAAUGAACACGGAAGGUGAUACUCUUCCCCAGCAUCACUCCUGCAUUUCUGAUCAGGAAGUAGUCAGUGCUUCCCUUAUCGCUAGCAGGCAGGCAGACUCCCCGAUGUCAACUAGCUCUGGCAGCAGUCGAGGCUUCUCAGUUGCAUCUAUGUUGCCGGAUACCACGAGAGAAGACAUCACCAGCAGCACCUCAACCAGUACGUGUAACAGCUGCACGUUUUCAGAACAGACUGACAUCGUAGCUCUUGCAGCAAGAGCUAUUUUUGACCAGGAAAACCUUGAGAAAGGUGGAGGAGGAAUACAGGUUAGCAUGAGGGAUGCCAUCUCUAAGUCAGCUGAGGCUGCACCUUUGGAGAGAGAGCAACAGCCUUUUAAACCUCAACCAGUGAAAGAAAACAAUGCAGGGCCGUUGGAAGCGGCACCAAGCAAAUUCAGUGCUCAAGAUACAGUACAGACAAAUGUUGAAAGACAGGUUGAAAAGCCAAGCUGCUCUGUAGGAGGUGCGGUAACAUCAAACACUUCUUUGCACAUUUCCACUUCCCAGUCAGCAAGCAUAACCAGUUUAAGCGUGAAUAAUCUGAUACACCAGAGUCGCAUUGUCCAUCCCCUUGUGAGUUGCUCCACCUUAUCCCAGUCUUCAGAGCCACCGAGUGUCCCUGCAACUGUGAGCCUCUCCCUCCCGUCUAGCACAUACGUCAAUCAGUCUCCAGGACCCGCUAUGCUGAGUGAAUAUGCUCAGGAACAGCUGAAUGCCAUCAGGGCAAGCACCAUGCAAGCUCCCCAGCUGCAGGAACCACACUUAAAGCAGCAAAAUCAUGAAGGCCGCAAAGACUCUGCCAAGCGGGCUGUUCAGGACGACCUUCUGCUUUCUACAGCAAAGAGGCAGAAGCAGUGCCAGACAGUGCCCAUACGGCUUGAGGGGAUGGCACUGAUGAACCGAACACCAGAGAGCAUUGCUGAUCAAACACAGAUGCUAGUCGGCCAGAUUCCUCCUAAUUCAUCCAACCCGGUGGCAUCAGUGAGCAACCAAGGGCACCCCGAUGGCCUUAACAGGUUAUUCCCGCCCAACAGCAACUUCGUAACGCCAGCGUUGAGGCAGCCUGAAGUUCAGUGCAGCUCUCAGCCAUCAAUUUCAGAGCAGCAAGGCCAGGCAGGGCAGCACUUGCAGCCAAUCCAGCAUGUUCCUGCUCAAGGCGUAUCUCACCUUCACAGCAAUCAUCCAUACUUAAAGCAGCAGCAGGCUGGUCAGUUAAGAGAAAGGCACCACUUGUAUCAGCUGCAGCAUCAUGUCACACACGGGGAAAGCUCGGUCCACUCUCAACCCCACAGUGUCCACCAACAGCGAACAAUACAGCAGGAGGUGCAGAUGCAAAAGAAGCGAAAUCUCAUCCAGGGAACACAAGCCACUCAGCUUUCUCUACAGCAAAAACACCACGGGAGUGAUCAAACACGGCAAAAAGGUGGUCAGCCUCACCCUCACCACCAGCAAAUGCAGCAGCAGAUGCAGCAGCACUUCGGAGCUUCCCAGCCUGAAAAGAACUGUGAAAAUCCUGCAACAAGUAGAAACCAUCAUAACCACCCUCAGAGCCAUAUAAAUCAGGAUAUUAUGCAUCAACAGCAACAAGAUGUUAGCAGCAGACAGCAAGGUUCAGCUUCUGAACAUGUGUCAGGGCACAAUCAGAUGCAAAGGCUCAUGACCUCAAGGGGCUUAGAGCAGCAGAUGGUGUCCCAGGCCAGUAUCGUAACCAGACCAUCAGACAUGACCUGCACCCCUCAUAGGCAGGAAAGAAAUAGAGUUUCCAGCUACUCUGCUGAGGCGCUCAUUGGGAAGACACCCUCUAAUUCAGAACAGAGAAUAGGAAUAUCUCUUCAAGGCCCUAGGGUUUCUGACCAGCUUGAAAUGAGAAGCUAUCUUGAUGUUUCUAGAAAUAAAGGGUUGGUGAUUCAUAAUAUGCAGGGCCGCUUAUCUGUCGACCAUACAGUUGGCUCAGAUGUGCAGCGGCUUUCUGACUGCCAAACGUUUAAACCAGCGGGACCCAAUCAGCAGCCAACAGGCAAUUUCGAUGUACAGGCUUCAAGAAACAGUGAAAUUGGUAAUUCUGUGUCAUCUCUCAGGGGAAUGCAGUCACAAGCAUUUCGAAUUGGUCAAAAUACUGGGCCAUCCAUAGAGAGACAGAAGAGAUUGCCCUACCAGCCAGUACAGGGUAUUCCAACAGGAAAUACCCUGCCAUCAAGGGAAAAUGAAAACACGUGCCACCAAAGUUUUAUGCAGAGUUUACUUGCCCCUCACCUUGGAGAUCAAGUGAGUGGAAGCCAAAGAUCAAUCCCAGAACAUCAGAGGAACACGCAGUGUGGUGCCUCCUCCACAAUUGAGUACAACUGUCCCCCAGCGCGAGAGAGCGUCCACAUCCGAAGAGAUGGUGACGGCCAGAGCAGGGAGAGCUGUGACAUGUCUAUCGGUCCAAUUAACACAAGGAACAGUUCUCUGAGUAUUCCUUUUUCAAGUUCUUCUUCCUCAGGAGACAUUCAGGGUCGCAAUACAAGCCCCAACAUCUCUGUGCAGAAGUCCAAUCCCAUGAGGAUGACGGAGAGUCAUGGAACUAAGAGCCACAUGAACACGCCUGUUUCUAGCAACAUGCACGGGGCUGUGAGGCCGACUCACCCUCACCCUGCAGUUUCUCAUGGAAAUGGUGAGCAAGGGCAACCUUCCGUUCGUCAGCCAAAUUCUUCAGUUACUCAGCGGUCGAGGCAUCCUCUGCAAGAUAAUGGAGGUUCUAAAAUACGUCAGCCCGAAAGGAAUCGAUCCGGAAAUCAAAGGCAUGGAAACGUCUUUGACUCUAGCCUUCCCCAUCUUCCCCUGUCCACCAGCGGCAGUAUGAUCCUUGGGCGCCAGCAGCCCGCGAUAGAAAAAAGAGGCAGCAUUGUCCGAUUUAUGUCCGAUGGCCCUCAAGUGUCUAAUGAUAAUGCAGCCCCUGACCAACAUACUCUCUCUCAGAAUUUUGGAUUCCCUUUCAUUCCGGAGGGUGGCAUGAAUCCACCAAUAAAUGCCAAUGCCUCUUUCAUCCCACCAGUCACUCAGCCCAGUGCCACUCGGACACCAGCUCUAAUCCCGGUUGAUCCGCAGAAUACGCUGCCAUCCUUCUACCCGCCUUACUCUCCUGCCCACCCUACCCUUUCCAACGACAUUUCUAUCCCUUACUUUCCCAAUCAGAUGUUUCCUAACCCAAGCACGGAGAAGCCGAGUAGUGGAAGUUUAAACAAUCGAUUUGGAUCCAUUUUGUCUCCUCCCAGGCCUGUUGGGUUUGCUCAGCCAAGUUUUCCUUUGCUUCCAGAUAUGCCGCCGAUGCACAUGACCAACACGUCGCACUUAUCCAAUUUUAACUUAACAUCUUUGUUUCCAGAAAUAGCCACAGCUCUUCCUCCAGAUGGUUCAGCAAUGUCGCCUUUGCUUUCCAUUGCAAACACAUCUGCUUCAGAUUCUUCCAAGCAGUCCUCAAACCGACCUGCCCAUAAUAUAAGCCAUAUUCUAGGUCACGACUGCAGCUCAGCAGUGUGAAAACUGAUAGACUGACUUCUAGUCUGAUGCAUUGUUUAUAUAUUUAAGAAGAAGAAAGUGGAUCUUACUGGCAUCCCUGAAGAGACCAUUCAUAGCAACACUGUUUAUUUGCCUAAAUCUUUCUGGUUUCUGUGAGUGACAGCCCUUUGUUGUACCAGGCAGCACAUGGGAGGAGGACAGAGCCUGUGGCAUCCUGCAAAAUGAGGGGGGAUCCCUGGGGGUGCAGUUCUUACUUACCGUUGCUGACAGGAACGGCCUGAAUUAAUAUCAGUAUUCUGCACUUGAAUGCACCUUUUGUCUAAACGCGUAUGAUUGUGGAACAUGAGUGUGUCAAGACUGAAACGGCGUCGUUGUGAUUUGAGCACCAGGAGGAAGGGGGGUGCGUUUGUGUGUGCAUGAGAGACGGAGUGAAUGCGUGUGCGCCGAGUCUCCAGUACUUCCACAGGUUUCGGUCCUGUUUCUUUUAAAGGAAGGGGAAGAACUAGGUAAGUUUUAUUUAUUUAAUGGCUCUGCAGUGUGCUUUUUUUUUCAAACAAGACAGAAAUAUUUGUCUUUUAUUUUUAUGUGCUUGGAAAUACCAUUCUGGUUUUGAUUUUUCAAAAAACCGAGGAACUUCAGGUUUCCCUGUAUGCAGUCCUCCUCCUACCAGCCAGGGAGUGGCAAAAACUGCUCUGGGGCCUCUUCUCUGGUCAGGGAGAGCCUGAAACACUUGUGUGUUGCCCACCAGUGCAUUGUCUUACUGCUUCUGGGACUUGUCACAGGUUCUUCCCCAAUGCCUCUGCUAGCAGGGGGCUGGGGAGGAACAGGCUCCCUGGGAAAUUUUUUAGGGAUUUUUUUUAAUUUGAAAGUUAGAAAGGAAGGUAUUCCUCCAUCUCCAAGAAUGGGAUCCAGAGAGAGGGACCUGGAAGUUUUUUCCAUAGCUUGACUGCCCGGGCCACAUUUUUGCUGAGUUCUUUUAUACUGAUCCAGGAAAGCAAAGAGGCUUUAGCGUAAAAAAAGAAUUGGGCUGUGUCUGUAGUCUGUCUGGACAAUGUCUCCGCUCUUGAAACCUGGGGUCUGAUGUUUUCCUGCAAAGCUAAGUAAAAUGGUUCUGAUUUAAAUUGGGAAUCACUUUUUAAUUCAGAUGGAGCUUCUCUUAGGACACCAAGUCUAAGUGGUGCAUCAGUUCUCUGUGUUUAUUAAAAAACCCCAGAUUGAAUAUGUAUUUCAUUUCAAAGCAAGGCAGCUUGUGUGAGUGUGACAGUGAAGUGGGCUGCCAAAGUGCAGCUUCUGACCAAAUGGCAGCAAGUGGCCUGUGCAGAGCAGGAGGGUUAGGAAUUACCGCCGGUCCCCAACUCCAGACUGACUAAGCGCACCGCAGGACUGGGUGUUCUCUGAUGAGGCUCUUGAUCAAACUGGUUUCCCUAAGUCACUAGGUCCCAAAGGGGCUUCCUCAGGUGGGGAAAUGAGUCCCCUAACAAUGAGCAUCUCCAUGGGCUGUGGAUGAUAAAGACAGGGGUAUUGAAGCAGCAGCUACACUAUAUGUUACUUACUUGUCCGGGCCUUAGGGCGGGAAGCAAAACAGCCAUUCUCACUCUCUUUAAAUGGCAUUGUGUGUGCAAUGGUGUAUUUGGCUUUCAACACAAAGUAGUGAAAAAUUAAGCCCUGGCUUCCAAGACUUCAUAUAAAGAUGUUAAUCCUGCUCAUCAUUCCAGGCAUUCACAUAGUACCAUAUUAGUUUCUUCUGCUGGGAAAACUACUUCAUGAUUGUCUUUGAAAACUGAAGUAAGCUUGUAAACUUGUACGGACCAGUUGCAACAGCUAAAUGUUCACCAGUCCAUGGGGCCAGAUGGGAUUCACCCGAGGGCUGAAGGAGCUAGCGGGUGUUACGGCAGGGACCCCUCUCAACCAUGUACCAAAGGUCUUGGGAGUCUGGGGAGGUCCCUGCUGACUGGAUGCUGGCCAGUGGUUUUCCAUCUACAAAAAGGGUGUGAGGGGAGAACCCAGGGAACUACACACCUGUUAGUCUAACCUCAGUUCCUGGAAAAAUUGUGGGGAAGAUUAUACAGGUUACUAUUGAAAGGCAUUUAAAAAUAACGUGAUUAUCAGGCACAGUCAACAUGGGCUCAGAAAGGGAAAGACCUAAGUAAUUCGAUAUCCUUCUACAAUAAGGUGAGCCACCAGUGGAUGAAGGGAAGAGAGUGGAGGUAGUUUUUCUGGAUUUUAAUAAGGCUUUUGAUACUGUCCCUCAGAGCAUCCUUCUGAACAAGCUGUCCAACUGUGGGAUGAGCGGGUUCAUGUUGCGCUGGGUGAAGAACUGGCUGAAGGGCAGAGCUCAAAGGGUUGUAGUGAAUGGGGCCACAUCUGGCUGGACCCAGUGCUGUUCCUCAGGGCUCAACUCUAGGGCCAGCCCUGCUCACUACAUUUAUCAGUGAUCUGGGUGCAGGAGUUGAAGGCACCGUUAGCAAGUUUGCUGGUGAUACCAAACUGGGAGGUGCUGUUGACUCUCUCGAGGGAUGAGAUGCCUUGCAGAGGGAUCUAGAUAGAUUGGAGCACUGGGCUCUGAUGAAUGGGAUGAAAUUCAACAAGAACAAAUGCUGGAUUCUGCUCCUGGGACAGAGUAAUGCCAUGCACAAGUGUAAACUGGGAGAGGAGUGUCUGGAGAGCAGCCCUGCAGAGAGGGGUCUGGGGGUGCUGGUCGGCAGCAGGCUCAGUGCGGGUCAGCAGUUGUGCUCUGGCAGCUGAGAGGGCAAACCCCAUCCCGGGGUGCACCAAACACAGCAUGGCCAGCCAGGCAAAAGGGGUCACCAUCCUGCUGUAUUCAGCGCUGGUGCGGCCUCACCUUGAGUGCUGGGUGCAGUUCUGGGCCCCACAAUUUAAGAAGGGUGUCAAGGUCCUCGAAUGUGUCCAGAGGAGGACAACUAAG